AGUGGAUAGUGGUAGCAGAAUUCCCUGCAGCUAAGCACAGCAGGAGUAUCAGGCAAGGCUCCUGGUGGCAAACAACAGAGGCCAAUGCCAGCUCCUUAGCAAAAUGGGGAUUUCUUAGAAGAAUGUCAAUGUUCUCAGACUCCCAUGAAGGAAGAUGGGGACCAGGAGUUCAAAGGGUCCAGCAGCAGAAGCCUGCCUGGGCUGACACUGAAGGAACUGGACUGACUUCUGUUGCCGAGAUCACUUUACACAACAGAAGGCAGACUCCUUGAUGAUGACACAGAGCAGUUUGCUAGCACUGAUGACUAGACCAGAAAGGCCUGGACCUGCAGCUGGAAGUGAAAGCAACUUGGUUAUCUGAGAUGCUUCCCUCUCUUCCUUUAAGCACCAAUUCAUGAACUCAUCACUGGCUCACCUUUAAGAUGCUUGUUGCUAUUCACAACUCCACUUGCUCCUCUAAUCAGCUUGGGAUGGUGGCCACUGGUUCAUGAGAUGUGGCCCUCUCUCUCUGGCUAAGCCAACUUGAAAGGUGAAAUCACUGCCCUCCCC
Long non-coding RNA from Choloepus didactylus (southern two-toed sloth), 549 nucleotides. RefSeq lists it as uncharacterized. The transcript has 3 exons. Lineage: Eukaryota; Metazoa; Chordata; Mammalia; Pilosa; Megalonychidae. The record is from RefSeq and is a predicted model, not a curated record.